GGUGGCUCAAUGGUAAAGCACCUGCCUUGCAUACAUGAGGCCCUGGGUUCAAUUCCCCAGCACCA
RNAcentral lists this transfer RNA (65 nucleotides) under Dipodomys ordii (Ord's kangaroo rat). It matches the Rfam family "tRNA". Rfam says of the family: Transfer RNA (tRNA) molecules are approximately 80 nucleotides in length. Their secondary structure includes four short double-helical elements and three loops (D, anti-codon, and T loops). Further hydrogen bonds mediate the characteristic L-shaped molecular structure. tRNAs have two regions of fundamental functional importance: the anti-codon, which is responsible for specific mRNA codon recognition, and the 3' end, to which the tRNAs corresponding amino acid is attached (by aminoacyl-tRNA synthetases). tRNAs cope with the degeneracy of the genetic code in two manners: having more than one tRNA (with a specific anti-codon) for a particular amino acid; and 'wobble' base-pairing, i.e. permitting non-standard base-pairing at the 3rd anti-codon position. The record is from Rfam by way of RNAcentral. Lineage: Eukaryota; Metazoa; Chordata; Mammalia; Rodentia; Heteromyidae.